RNAcentral lists this unclassified non-coding RNA (238 nucleotides) under Hevea brasiliensis (rubber tree). The record is from RNAcentral. Lineage: Eukaryota; Viridiplantae; Streptophyta; Magnoliopsida; Malpighiales; Euphorbiaceae.
UCAGCCACUGGACCAGCGCUGCAUGAGGUGGGAGGAUCCUUCUGCAAAUCCUUAAGCUCCUUCAAUAUGCGCUUCGACGCCAUAAUUCAGUCCGUAUACCUUCUAAUCCAAGUCCUGAAUUAAGAAGAGGAAGAUGUGGAAGACAAUUAAUUGAAUGGAAAAUUGCAGAGCUUGGAUUAGGUUUUGAGCCAAUCUUUUAAAAUAUCUACUCCAUUUUAUAGCUGAAUAAAUAUUGAUA